AUGAAGAAGAAACCAAACGCUCUUUUUUUUUUUUUUUUUUUUUUUCCCUUUCCUUUCUCCCCACCCCUUUCAAUCGGAAGAAAGAAAUCCCAAGGUCUGCAAAGACAUGCGGCUUCGGCACCACAAGCCCCGCGACACUGCCUGGAACCGUCUCCAACGCCUGGGGUCCCCGCUGCUCGGGUUCGGCGGGAUUCUGGGGAUUUUGGCCCAGACUGUCGCUUUCCGCUGGAUCUUGGUUCCCGCCUGCCCACGUGUGGAUUAGAGAACAAGCGGCCCCUCUCCCUCCCCAGCCCCAUCCCAGCUCCAAACCUGGAGGCUGACUGGGGGAAGCGGCUUUUUCUAGGGCAUAUUCUAAAAAGACUAAUGCUACAUCCCUUGGGCAGGGGGCCCUGAAUCAAAGGGUUAGGGGCUCGGAGUUGUGAGCCCUCUCCCCUCUACCGACUCCAAGAGCAAGAGGGGAUCAAUAGGGCCGGUAGGGAGAUCCGAGGCCAAGGCUGCUCAAGGUUUAUUUGGUUUUCUUUUCGGCCAAGGGAGGGGGCGGCCAGGAGAGGCGCCGUCCCCGGCAGUUCCACUCGGUUGUCAAAAGACAAACUGGGUCUGUGUUCUCCGGGUUGGCUGGUGAGUCUUGCCAGUUCCUUGGCUGGUUGAAUCUGUCAUGAAGGAAUUGAGCCGAGUUUUCUGGAAACUGUUGGUGUCUGCAAGUGAGUGUGGGUCCCCUUCCCUGUUUUCCAAUCAUUUCAAGUGAAAUCGACGCAAAUACACUUGGGAAAAAAAAAAAUGAGGAGUGGGAAUGGGGAUCAAUCAUUAAGGAACCAAACCAUUGUAACUUGUCUUCCUUCGGGACCCCUCACACCCGCUUAAGCUGACCGUUUUCCCAGAAGGGGGUGGCUGGCGAGGGCGGGAGGGGGGAUCUGCGCCGCUGCCGCCGUUUGAAUAUUGGCCCCUGUCUCACGGGUUACUGAUUAGCUCGGGCUUUCAAGCCGCAGGAGGAAGCUCUGGCUGCUCCUUUCAAGGUGCUGUGGCCCCAGUUCCUGGGCGGGGGCUCCAGGAAAUUGCCUGUGGUGCCAAGCAGGCCGAGGUGUUACCAGGGUCUGGCCAGGAGCUGAAGGCGCUGCCGAGGUGGAGGGGCCCAGCGGUACUGGGGGCAAACUCAGGGGCUGCGACCCCUGAGCCUUGGUGCCUCUGGGAAUCUGGACCCCAGGAGCAGUCCUUUCAGCUUUUCGGCAGAGAGUGACUUUCUGGCGGCUGGAAGGCCCGGCCAGUGCGGGAGGCCCCAAGGGAUCGAGCUCUGCAAGGCUCCUCAGAGAUUUUUUCUCUUGUGGGCAAUCUGAAGGACAGGUAGGGAGGGGAAUGAACCUGGUACAAAGGGUGGAAACACGUCAGGGCUCCUAGGGUGCCCAUGGACCCGGAGAGAGGGAGCUGAGCACCGCUGCGGCUCCACCAUCACCCCCCACCAGAGACGCUGCCGCUCAUUUGCAUAAUGGAAAUGAUGUCUUUGAACCGGGCGCUUUGGACCAGCCAAUUUCAAGGCAAUGUCCCCUCUAAAGAGCUCUCAAAGAUUGGAAGCAGCCGCACUGCUCCCUCGGGGACCGUUUAUGCUCCCCAAACCCAGAGAAUCACAGAGCAUAGGGGAAGAAUUGGGUUGAGAUAUUUGGAUUCACCCCACUCCAGCCAGACUUGGGAGUAGGGUGGGGGAAGGUGCCCACAGCCCGAAGAGCUAGGGGUGCGGGGAGCUUUGCAGCUGAGAGGAUGUGGGGGAGCCUGGAUAAUGUCUCAAUCUCCUUCGCCUCCACACACCUACUGGCAAAUAUCCUCCUGGAGAUUACCGACCGGUACAGGAGAAUUUUACUCCGGAGCUGAACACAGCUCAGACAUUUCCCUGGGAGCUGGAAUGUGUGUUUGUCCGCAGGACUUCAGAUUCACAGCUCAGAAAAUUACAAUUAUAAAUCCUGCCUGUGGGGUUUCUAUACAAUCCUUCUGUUGUGUACUCAAGAGUUGGUACACAUGUAUAUUCACCUCUUCGUUGAGCAGGGAGAGACACUCAGAGCAGCCGAUGCUGCUAUGUAUUUCUGUACUCCCCUUUGGAGACAGACCGACAGCGGUGAUGGAACCACAGACAGAUUCAUAGAGAUCUGGCUCCAGAAACCAGGCAGCCUCUGGCCCAGCCCUGCCUGCCUGCUCUUUCUCCCAAACAAACGGAUCAGACGAAUAAACGCUCAUAAAUACCUCUGGGCUUAGAUAAG
RNAcentral lists this long non-coding RNA (2243 nucleotides) under Sus scrofa (pig). RNAcentral describes it as "lncRNA (ENSSSCG00050056161.1)". Lineage: Eukaryota; Metazoa; Chordata; Mammalia; Artiodactyla; Suidae. The record is from RNAcentral.